UACGUAGGUGGCGAGCGUUGUCCGGAAUCAUUGGGCGUAAAGAGCGCGUAGGUGGCUUGUCAGGUCUGAUGUGAAAACUUGGGGCUCAACCCCAAGCCUGCAUCGGAAACCGGCUUGCUAGAGUCUGGGAGAGGAGAGUGGAAUUCCUGGUGUAGCGGUGAAAUGCGUAGAUAUCAGGAGGAACACCGGUAGCGAAGGCGGCUCUCUGGAACAGUACUGACGCUGAGGCGCGAAAGCUAGGGGAGCGAACAGG
This 253-nucleotide ribosomal RNA is filed under the name uncultured bacterium. Its description in RNAcentral is "partial 16S ribosomal RNA". It matches the Rfam family "Bacterial small subunit ribosomal RNA", at positions 524 to 776 of the family's 1533-position model. The record is from RNAcentral.